ACGGGUGAGUAACACGUGAGUAACCUGCCCUUGACUCUGGGAUAACCUCCGGAAACGGAAGCUAAUACCGGAUAUGACGUACGGAGGCAUCUCCUGUACGUGGAAAGAACUUCGGUCAAGGAUGGACUCGCGGCCUAUCAGGUAGUUGGUGAGGUAACGGCUCACCAAGCCUACGACGGGUAGCCGGCCUGAGAGGGUGACCGGCCACACUGGGACUGAGACACGGCCCAGACUCCUACGGGAGGCAGCAGUGGGGAAUAUUGCACAAUGGGCGCAAGCCUGAUGCAGCAACGCCGCGUGAGGGACGACGGCCUUCGGGUUGUAAACCUCUUUUAGUAGGGAAGAAGCGAAAGUGACGGUACCUGCAGAAAAAGCACCGGCUAACUACGUGCCAGCAGCCGCGGUAAUACGUAGGGUGCGAGCGUUGUCCGGAAUUAUUGGGCGUAAAGAGCUCGUAGGCGGUCUGUCGCGUCUGCUGUGAAAACCCGAGGCUCAACCUCGGGCCUGCAGUGGGUACGGGCAGACUAGAGUGCGGUAGGGGAGAAUGGAAUUCCUGGUGUAGCGGUGGAAUGCGC
This 575-nucleotide ribosomal RNA is filed under the name Leifsonia sp. HRTP189. Its description in RNAcentral is "bacterial SSU rRNA". It matches the Rfam family "Bacterial small subunit ribosomal RNA", at positions 102 to 691 of the family's 1533-position model. The record is from RNAcentral. Lineage: Bacteria; Bacillati; Actinomycetota; Actinomycetes; Micrococcales; Microbacteriaceae.